GGAGGCAAAGAAGAGGGCUUACAUAGAGUUAGUAGAGAGUUAGGAUAAUAAUGAGAAGUAGAAGAGUAUAUGAAAAAUAUAAUAUAUCUAGGAAGGAUGCAAAGUUAGCAGUUAUGUUAGAAAAACACAAGGCUUUAGAUGCAAGCAAAUAUAACUAGAGAAGAAAGGUGUGUAUAAGAAGUUAUACAUGUUAUGCAAGUUAGAUAUAGGAAAGUCAAAUAUUUAGGCCAAG
Molecule: long non-coding RNA, 232 nt
Filed under: Capsicum annuum
Lineage: Eukaryota; Viridiplantae; Streptophyta; Magnoliopsida; Solanales; Solanaceae
Description: long non-coding RNA (CANN_LNC001959)
Source: RNAcentral